GUAGGGAAUAUUGGGCAAUGGAUGCAAGUCUGACCCAGCCAUCCCGCGUGCCGGAAGAAGGCCCUCAGGGUUGUAAACGGCUUUUGACGGUGAAGAAUCGACAGGAUGCGUCCUGUUUUGACGGCAGCCGUUGAAUAAGCACCGGCUAACUCCGUGCCAGCAGCCGCGGUAAUACGGAGGGUGCGAGCGUUGUCCGGAUUUAUUGGGUUUAAAGGGUGCGUAGGCUGGAAGGUCAGUCAGCGGUGAAAAGCUGUCGCUUAACGAUAGUCUUGCCGCAGAUACUUCCUUUCUUGGAUGAGGAGGAGGCCACUGGAACGGAUGGUGUAGCGGUGAAAUGCAUAGAUAUCAUCCAGAACACCGAUUGCGAAGGCAGGUGGCUGUACCUUAAUCGACGCUGAUGCACGAAAGCAUGGGGAGCAAACAGGAUUAGAUACCCCUGUAGUCC
RNAcentral lists this ribosomal RNA (445 nucleotides) under uncultured bacterium. Its description in RNAcentral is "partial 16S ribosomal RNA". It matches the Rfam family "Bacterial small subunit ribosomal RNA", at positions 354 to 796 of the family's 1533-position model. The record is from RNAcentral.